AGAUUAAGUUAUUAAGGGCGCACGGUGGAUGCCUUGGCACUAGAAGCCGACGAAGGACGUUACUAACGACGAUAUGCUUUGGGUAGCUGUAAGUAAGCGUUGAUCCAGAGAUUUCCGAAUGGGGG
Molecule: ribosomal RNA, 125 nt
Filed under: Staphylococcus haemolyticus
Lineage: Bacteria; Bacillati; Bacillota; Bacilli; Caryophanales; Staphylococcaceae
Description: partial 23S ribosomal RNA
Rfam family: Bacterial large subunit ribosomal RNA
Source: RNAcentral